This 70-nucleotide non-coding RNA is filed under the name Paenibacillus lautus. RNAcentral describes it as "partial 16S ribosomal RNA". It matches the Rfam family "Bacterial small subunit ribosomal RNA", at positions 1464 to 1533 of the family's 1533-position model. Lineage: Bacteria; Bacillati; Bacillota; Bacilli; Caryophanales; Paenibacillaceae. RNAcentral also lists the same sequence under 9 other names. The record is from RNAcentral.
GGGGUAGAUGAUUGGGGUGAAGUCGUAACAAGGUAGCCGUAUCGGAAGGUGCGGCUGGAUCACCUCCUUU